Molecule: unclassified non-coding RNA, 252 nt
Filed under: Hevea brasiliensis (rubber tree)
Lineage: Eukaryota; Viridiplantae; Streptophyta; Magnoliopsida; Malpighiales; Euphorbiaceae
Source: RNAcentral
GGAUGACUAAUCAAAAAAUGACGAGCAGAAAUUAUGUCUGCAUACUUUCAUCAUAUCUCAUGCUUGGGCAUAUGAAGGAAGCUGGAGAAAUUAUCGAUCAGUGGAAGCUUUCUGCAGCGACAGCUUUUGAUCGUUCCAGCUGCAAUAGACUUCUAAAAGCAUAUAAAGAAGUUGGGUUGGAAGAGAGUGCAGUAGCUUUCCGGCUGCUUCUAAUUCAGAAAGGUUGUGAUGAAAUAGAGGAAUCAUAGUAGC